GACGAACGCUGGCGGCGUGCUUAACACAUGCAAGUCGAGCGGAAAGGCCCUUCGGGGUACUCGAGCGGCGAACGGGUGAGUAACACGUGGGUAACCUGCCCUUCACUCUGGGAUAACUCCGGGAAACCGGGGCUAAUACCGGAUACGACCACUUUAGGCAUCUUCGGUGGUGGAAAGUUUUUCGGUGGAGGAUGGACCCGCGGCCUAUCAGCUUGUUGGUGGGGUAAGUGCCUACCAAGGCGAGUGACGGGUAGCCGGCCUGAGAGGGCGGACCGG
This 276-nucleotide ribosomal RNA is filed under the name uncultured bacterium. Its description in RNAcentral is "partial 16S ribosomal RNA". It matches the Rfam family "Bacterial small subunit ribosomal RNA", at positions 28 to 307 of the family's 1533-position model. The record is from RNAcentral.